GACAGAGGAGGCAAGCGUUGUUCGGAAUUAUUGGGCUUAAAGCGCGUUUAGGCGGCCGCGUAAGUGCUUUGUGAAAGUCCACGGCUCAACCGUGGAAUUGCAGGGCAUACUGCGCGGCUUCAGGUCGGUAGAGGUGGCCGGAACUCUAGGUGGAGCGCUGAAAUGCGUAGAUAUCUAGAGGAACGCCGCAGGCGAAAGCGGGCCACUGGGCCGAUUCUGACGCUGAGACGAGAAAGCGUGGGGAGGAAACAGG
Molecule: ribosomal RNA, 253 nt
Filed under: uncultured bacterium
Lineage: Bacteria
Description: partial 16S ribosomal RNA
Rfam family: Bacterial small subunit ribosomal RNA
Source: RNAcentral